UACGUAGGGCGCAAGCGUUGUCCGGAAUUAUUGGGCGUAAAGAGCUCGUAGGCGGCCUGUUACGUCUGCUGUGAAAUCCCGGGGCUUAACCCCGGGCGUGCAGUGGAUACUGGCAGGCUGGAGUAUGGGUAGAGGAAGGUGGAAUUCCCGGUGUAGCAGUGAAAUGCGUAGAGAUCGGGAGGAACACCAGUGGCGAAGGCGGCCUUCUGGACCGAAUACUGACGCUCAUGCACGAAAGCGUGGGGAGCAAACAGG
Molecule: ribosomal RNA, 255 nt
Filed under: uncultured bacterium
Lineage: Bacteria
Description: partial 16S ribosomal RNA
Rfam family: Bacterial small subunit ribosomal RNA
Source: RNAcentral